CCUACGGGUGGCAGCAGUGGGGAAUAUUGGACAAUGGGCGAAAGCCUGAUCCAGCCAUGCCGCGUGUGUGAAGAAGGCCUUCGGGUUGUAAAGCACUUUCAGUGGGGAAGAAAGCCUUGGGGCUAAUACCCUCGAGGAAGGACAUAACCCACAGAAGAAGCACCGGCUAACUCCGUGCCAGCAGCCGCGGUAAUACGGAGGGUGCGAGCGUUAAUCGGAAUUACUGGGCGUAAAGCGCGCGUAGGCGGUCUGAUAAGCCGGUUGUGAAAGCCCCGGGCUCAACCUGGGAACGGCAUCCGGAACUGUCAGGCUAGAGUGCAGGAGAGGAAGGUAGAAUUCCCGGUGUAGCGGUGAAAUGCGUAGAGAUCGGGAGGAAUACCAGUGGCGAAGGCGGCCUUCUGGACUGACACUGACGCUGAGGUGCGAAAGCGUGGGUAGCAAACAGGAUUAGAUACCCUAGUAGUC
This 465-nucleotide ribosomal RNA is filed under the name Vreelandella stevensii. RNAcentral's name for it is "partial 16S ribosomal RNA". It matches the Rfam family "Bacterial small subunit ribosomal RNA", at positions 338 to 795 of the family's 1533-position model. The record is from RNAcentral. Lineage: Bacteria; Pseudomonadati; Pseudomonadota; Gammaproteobacteria; Oceanospirillales; Halomonadaceae.